GAUGAACGAGGGAGGCGUGCCUAAUACAUGCAAGUCGAGCGAACAGACGAGGAGCUUGCUCCUCUGACGUUAGCGGCGGACGGGUGAGUAACACGUGGAUAACCUACCUAUAAGACUGGGAUAACUUCGGGAAACCGGAGCUAAUACCGGAUAACAUGUUGAACCGCAUGGUUCAACAGUGAAAGACGGUUUUGCUGUCACUUAUAGAUGGAUCCGCGUCGCAUUAGCUAGUUGGUAAGGUAACGGCUUACCAAGGCAACGAUGCGUAGCCGACCUGAGAGGAUGAUCGGCCACACUGGAACUGAGACACGGUCCCGCCUCCUACGGGAGGCAGCAGUCGGGCAUCUUCCGCAAUGAGCGAAAGCCUGAAGGAGAAACGCCGCGUGAGUGAAGAAGGUCUUCGGCUCGUAAAACUCUGUUAUUAGGGAAGUACAAAUCUGUAAGUAACUAUGCACGUCUUACCGUUCCCUAAUCAGAAAGCCCCGCCAAACUACGUG
RNAcentral lists this ribosomal RNA (497 nucleotides) under uncultured bacterium. Its description in RNAcentral is "partial 16S ribosomal RNA". It matches the Rfam family "Bacterial small subunit ribosomal RNA", at positions 28 to 507 of the family's 1533-position model. The record is from RNAcentral.